RNAcentral lists this unclassified non-coding RNA (250 nucleotides) under Hevea brasiliensis (rubber tree). Lineage: Eukaryota; Viridiplantae; Streptophyta; Magnoliopsida; Malpighiales; Euphorbiaceae. The record is from RNAcentral.
AAAGAUGCUGUCUACAAGCUUAGAGGAGUAGAAUCGGUAUCGGUGGAGCUAGAGAUGGAAAAAGUAACAGUAGUGGGAUAUGUGGAUCGAAAUAGGGUGCUUAAAGCAGUGAGGAGGCACGGGAAGCGGGCGGAGUUUUGGCCAUAUCCAAAUCCCCCAUUAUAUUUCACAUCAUCAAAUAACUAUUUCAAAGACAUGACAAGUGAGUAUAGAGAUAGUUAUAAUUAUUGGCGCCAUGGUUAUAAUGUUG